CGCCUGUUUAUCAAAAACAUGUCUUUUUGAAUAAUAAUUUAAAGUCUAGUCUGCCCACUGAUAUUAAAUUAAAGGGCUGCAGUAUAUUGACUGUACAAAGGUAGCCUAAUCAUUAGUCUUUUAAUUGAUGACUUGUAUGAAUGAUUGGAUAAGAUAUAAACUGUCUCUUAAUAAAUUUAUAGAAUUUAAUUUUUUAUUUAAAAAGUUAAAAUAAUUUUAAAAGACGAGAAGACCCUAUAGAGUUUAAUAAUUAUUUAUAUUAAAAUUAUAAAUAUAAAUUUAAUUAAAAUUUAUUUAAUUAUUUUAUUGGGGUGAUAAAAAAAUUAAAAAAACUUUUUUUAAAAUUUAACAUAGAUAAUUGAUUAUUUGAUCCAAUUUUUUUGAUUAUAAGAUUAAAUUACCUUAGGGAUAACAGCGUAAUUUUUUUUUUAGUUCAUAUAAAAAAAAAAGUUUGCGACCUCGAUGUUGGAUUAAGAUAAAAUUUAAAUGCAAAAGUUUAAAAUUUUGAUCUGUUCGAUCAUUAAAAUCUUACAUGAUCUGAGUUCAAACCGGAG
This 554-nucleotide ribosomal RNA is filed under the name Yponomeuta sedellus. Its description in RNAcentral is "partial 16S ribosomal RNA". The stretch from base 408 to 554 matches the Rfam family "Archaeal large subunit ribosomal RNA", at positions 2542 to 2690 of the family's 2987-position model. Lineage: Eukaryota; Metazoa; Arthropoda; Insecta; Lepidoptera; Yponomeutidae. The record is from RNAcentral.